UACGGAGGGUGCAAGCGUUAUCCGGAUUCACUGGGUUUAAAGGGUGCGUAGGUGGCUUGGUAAGUCAGUGGUGAAAGCCCGGAGCUCAACUCCGGAACUGCCAUUGAUACUGCUUAGCUUGAAUCAGGUCGAGGUGGAUGGAAUAUUACAUGUAGCGGUGAAAUGCUUAGAUAUGUAAUAGAACACCGAUUGCGAAGGCAGUUCACUAGGCCUGUAUUGACACUGAGGCACGAAAGCGUGGGGAUCAAACAGG
This 253-nucleotide ribosomal RNA is filed under the name uncultured bacterium. RNAcentral describes it as "partial 16S ribosomal RNA". It matches the Rfam family "Bacterial small subunit ribosomal RNA", at positions 524 to 776 of the family's 1533-position model. The record is from RNAcentral.